ACGGCCAACAGAGAUUUGGUUCCUAAGCGCACAUUUCUCUCCUCGCGCAUACGGCCGGUGAUGCUUAAAGUGGACAUAAUAAAUCACUUACACUGCUGUUCUGCCCGGACCAGUGCACCAUAGCCUGGUUGUGAGAUGAAUCCCCGGUCAAGGCGAACGUUGAACUGUUAAGUUUUAGUUCCUCCUGCCUCUGACCGGCGGCUCUCCGCUCCUCUCCGCUCCAGCGCAAUUCAGAGCGCGGCACUCUGCGUCCGGCCGCUGAGCUCCUGCUCUCUCCCGGUUCUUGACUCUGGGUUGAACCGGGGGAUCUGGCUUUAUUAUCAUCACUGUCCCUUCUGGCGCGCUUUCUGUAGCGGGUGGCAGAGCCUUGGCUCUUUGUAUUCCGUCCGAUCCGGAGCGCAUUCAGCAGACCCAGCUACGCAACGGAGCCGCCGACUUUCAGCACUUGCAGCACCGGAUCUCCCUGCCCCAUCCCCAUGUCCCAAAACUUCUUCCUUUAAUCCUGUUGCGGAUUGACUUGUGUCGAAUUUCAGCAGUAACUGCUGUGCACGCCACUUAUUUCCAGGCUGGCAUGACCUGCAAGUUAUCUCAGCAUUGGCGGCAUGAAAGGAACAGAGCAUCAUCAAAAGCAAAAACCAAAGCGCACCAUGCCACUUUGGGCAAAAUAUGACCUCCCUCUCCAUUUCUGAGAUAGAGAAGGAUGCUGUGGAUGCUGGAAGUCUUUUCUCCCCACUCCUCUCGCUGCCUUUUCGGGGUGUGAAAUUCCGCUCGGCUGUUGAAGAUGAAGUGCUGCGCAAGUUGUGGCGUUGCCCAAAUGCAGUGUUGUAAAAAGUGCGGCUGAGCCUAAGUGGUCCAAGUUGAAGGAUUUGAUCAAAUCAAGCCCCGCACGCAUGGGGGAGGAGCUGAGGAUCCAGACUGAGCGAUGGAGGAUAAUGUUGGACUGUCUUUCUCCAUAUUUGUUAUUUUCCACCAUAUGGUCGGCGAUAAUUAAUGCAGCCAGUAAUACAGUCAUUUUAUUCUACUG
Micropterus dolomieu (smallmouth bass) is the source of this 1024-nucleotide long non-coding RNA. RefSeq lists it as uncharacterized. Lineage: Eukaryota; Metazoa; Chordata; Actinopteri; Centrarchiformes; Centrarchidae. The transcript is spliced from 2 exons. The record is from RefSeq and is a predicted model, not a curated record.